AUGCAGACGCAGAUAUGGCAAAAACGGAUCAAAACAGACGCGUGGUGUAGCGGUCUAGAUUGUUGCAGAGGGAGUGUGCGCAGAGGGCAGUAUGGAGGACGGCUGCUCAAGGAGGAUUUUGCCGGAUAUUGGUUUCGUGGUGGAGUUGUUGCGACGAGCGAAGUUCGACUCUGCAGAUUUGGGAGUGCAGUCGCGUGGGUGAGGCUUUGUGAAGGAGGUGAUCUCGCGGAUUUGUUGGAGUUAUGUGGCGCUGGGUGGUACAAAUUGGCGGGUGGCUCGCGGAUUUGUGGUGAUUUGCGGCAGAGAUAA
This is a non-coding RNA of Vicia faba (fava bean), 309 nucleotides long. The record is from the annotation of a GenBank genome assembly. NCBI's taxonomy places the organism in Eukaryota, Viridiplantae, Streptophyta, Magnoliopsida, Fabales, Fabaceae.